UACGUAGGGUGCGAGCGUUAAUCGGAAUUACUGGGCGUAAAGCGUGCGCAGGCGGUUUUGUAAGCCAGAUGUGAAAUCCCCGGGCUUAACCUGGGAAUGGCAUUUGGGACUGCAAGGCUGGAGUGCGGCAGAGGAGACUGGAAUUCCUGGUGUAGCAGUGAAAUGCGUAGAUAUCAGGAGGAAUACCGAUGGCGAAGGCAGGUCUCUGGGCUGACACUGACGCUCAUGCACGAAAGCGUGG
This 241-nucleotide ribosomal RNA is filed under the name uncultured bacterium. RNAcentral describes it as "partial 16S ribosomal RNA". It matches the Rfam family "Bacterial small subunit ribosomal RNA", at positions 524 to 764 of the family's 1533-position model. The record is from RNAcentral.